ACAAGCGAAAAUCGGGUUUGCUUUAGGCAUUACAUAGCCUUCAGAUUUGUCAUAAUAACUUUUAAAAUGUUCGCUUGUUCUUCUGCUAGCGACCAUGUAUUAAAAACCUUUCUCUCCAAUCCAUAGCAUUAAAUAGCUACAUUUCUCCUCCUCAGAUUUCACAUGGAGGGGACUGCUGAACAUUAAUUCGGUGUGUUGUUGAAACUUUCGCCAUGUGUCAGGGAGGUUAGAAGAGCCCUAGUCCAUUUGCGGUUUAGGCAGUCCCCAGGUGAAGGAAGUCUGUCCUACAGACAAACGGACUGCUAUAGAGAAAACAUUGUGUGGCUUCAGUGGUGCAUCAGCUUGAGUGUAGCAUUGACCAAGAGGCCUGUGGCCCCAUCAUCUUCAUGGAAACAAGACCCACAACCACACCCUACAGACGUUCAGAGCAAAGCUGCUGAAACACCACCAACGUGUGAUACACUUUAUGUCAGCCGUUAUUAAUGUCAGUCACAGAGAGAACUGACAGUGCACCAGAGACACUGGCCACAGUUUGGAAGCAGCUGCAGAGGACCAAAGGUGGGGUUUCCUUAUUUAGAGAAGCCUGUGAUUGUCUGAGUAUCAGAGAUUUUACAUCAGAGACCGUAGCAGAUGUGGAUCUUACCCAAACGUGCAGAUGAGCCCCACACUAUGCUGUCUGUAGAAUGAACAGAGCGGUAAUCGGC
Paramormyrops kingsleyae is the source of this 704-nucleotide non-coding RNA. NCBI's taxonomy places the organism in Eukaryota, Metazoa, Chordata, Actinopteri, Osteoglossiformes, Mormyridae. The record is from RefSeq and is a predicted model, not a curated record.